AGAGUUUGAUCAUGGCUCAGGACGAACGCUGGCGGCGUGCUUAACACAUGCAAGUCGAACGGAAAGGCCCUGCUUUUGUGGGGUGCUCGAGUGGCGAACGGGUGAGUAACACGUGAGUAACCUGCCCUUGACUUUGGGAUAACUUCAGGAAACUGGGGCUAAUACCGGAUAGGAGCUCCUGCUGCAUGGUGGGGGUUGGAAAGUUUCGGCGGUUGGGGAUGGACUCGCGGCUUAUCAGCUUGUUGGUGGGGUAGUGGCUUACCAAGGCUUUGACGGGUAGCCGGCCUGAGAGGGUGACCGGCCACAUUGGGACUGAGAUACGGCCCAGACUCCUACGGGAGGCAGCAGUGGGGAAUAUUGCACAAUGGGCGGAAGCCUGAUGCAGCAACGCCGCGUGCGGGAUGACGGCCUUCGGGUUGUAAACCGCUUUCGCCUGUGACGAAGCGUGAGUGACGGUAAUGGUAAAGAAGCACCGGCUAACUACGUGCCAGCAGCCGCGGUGAUACGUAGGGUGCGAGCGUUGUCCGGAUUUAUUGGGCGUAAAGGGCUCGUAGGUGGUUGAUCGCGUCGGAAGUGUAAUCUUGGGGCUUAACCCUGAGCGUGCUUUCGAUACGGGUUGACUUGAGGAAGGUAGGGGAGAAUGGAAUUCC
This 650-nucleotide ribosomal RNA is filed under the name uncultured bacterium. RNAcentral describes it as "bacterial SSU rRNA". It matches the Rfam family "Bacterial small subunit ribosomal RNA", at positions 8 to 670 of the family's 1533-position model. The record is from RNAcentral.